GGUCCGGUGGCCAAAUGGCAAGGCGCUUGACUACGAUUCCUUAAAAGUGAUGAAAUCAAGAGAUUGCAGGUUCGAUCCCUGCCCGGAUCG
Molecule: non-coding RNA, 90 nt
Organism: Xylariomycetidae sp. FL2044
Lineage: Eukaryota; Fungi; Ascomycota; Sordariomycetes
Source: the annotation of a GenBank genome assembly